Solea solea (common sole) is the source of this 810-nucleotide long non-coding RNA. RefSeq lists it as uncharacterized. The transcript is spliced from 3 exons. NCBI's taxonomy places the organism in Eukaryota, Metazoa, Chordata, Actinopteri, Pleuronectiformes, Soleidae. The record is from RefSeq and is a predicted model, not a curated record.
GUGUGGGUGCUGGCGAGGCCGUUGUGGGCGCACAAUCCUUGCCAUUCAGCGCGAUCGGCUGCUGGGGCUGUGGGAAACGCAUCGCUCCACCAGAAGCAUUUCCUGGAUGCGCUUGCCCGCUUUCUUUCGCUGGGUGAUUGGCACGCAGCGCAAAUUAAUACUCCUCUGUCUCUCUGGCAUUACUGCAGAUUGGUAUGUAUAAGUUCAUUGUUUAAAGAUGUUGAUGGUAAUUGUAUGUAUUCGGGCACUAAAUAAUGUGUGCUAUUCUCGUAAAGGCCGUGAUAAAUUGUUGGCCCGUAUUCAGCCACUGUGCCCUGGAUCUGCGCUGCUGUUUUGGCUCCGUUUAAUUUAUGGAUGCUCCGGACUCGCUGUCAGGACUCGCAGUCGGGACUUCGAUUCCUGUGAUCUAUUAAUAGAUACGUCCUGCCCUGAGCAACCGUGAAUGGGGAUGAGACUGACAGUGUUAAGGGGCAUCAAUUAUUGAAAUGUGCUUUAUAUAGUUUAUUAUUUUGUAUCAUUUUGUGUUUGUUUGUAUUUUUGGUAUUCUUAAUUAUUUUGGUUUUCUCCAUACCAGUCCUGUGUAGAACCUUUGGCAUGUUUUAACGUGUUUCUUGUUUUUGGUUAGGUGCUGUGGCCCAGAGGCGGCAGUCUCGUCCUUGGUGGUGGUCCCCUUCACGAUUUCCUUUUGCUUUAAUGUGUGAGUGCAGUGUUACGGGUGUUUUAAGUAACGGACCCUUCCACUUUUGAUUUGUCCCUGCCGUCUGGUAAGCUCCAGCCCCUUUCCCUUGAUUUUUAUUCUUGCUUGGUGCU